Molecule: ribosomal RNA, 473 nt
Filed under: uncultured organism
Description: SSU rRNA
Rfam family: Bacterial small subunit ribosomal RNA
Source: RNAcentral
GCGUAACCUAGUGGUGUCGCGUGUCGUGAAAACUCACAGCUUACUGUGGGCGUGCGGGCGAUACGGGCAACUAAGUACUGCAGGGAGACUGGAAUCCUGGUGUAGCGGUGGAAUGCGCAGAUAUCAGGAGGAACACCGGUGGCGAAGGCGGGUCUCUGGGCAGUAACUGACGCUGAGGAGCGAAAGCGUGGGGAGCGAACAGGAUUAGAUACCCUGGUAGUCCACGCCGUAAACGGUGGGUACUAGGUGUGGGUUCCUUCCUUGGGAUCCGUGCCGUAGCUAACGCAUUAAGUACCCCGCCUGGGGAGUACGGCCGCAAGGCUAAAACUCAAAGGAAUUGACGGGGGCCCGCACAAGCGGCGGAGCAUGUGGAUUAAUUCGAUGCAACGCGAAGAACCUUACCUGGGUUUGACAUGCACAGGACGCCGGCAGAGAUGUCGGUUCCCUUGUGGCCUGUGUGCAGGUGGUGCAUG